GAUGAACGCUAGCGGCAGGCCUAAUACAUGCAAGCCGGACGGCAAGUUGAGUAGCAAUACUUGACCUAGAGUGGCGUAAGGGUGCGUAACACGUAUGCAAUCUGCCCACAGCCGGGAGAUAGCUCUCCGAAAGGAGGAUUAAUAUCCCAUAGGAAGAUGAGAUGGCAUCAUUUUAUUUUAACUACGGGUCGUGUGGAUGAGCAUGCGGUUGAUUAGCUAGUUGGCGGGGUAAAGGCCCACCCAAGGCGAUGAUCAAUAGGGGACCGUGAGAGGGUGAUCCCCCACCACUGGCACUGAGAUACGGGCCAGACUCCUACGGGAGGCAGCAGUAGGGAAUAUUGGACAAUGGGU
Molecule: ribosomal RNA, 351 nt
Filed under: uncultured bacterium
Lineage: Bacteria
Description: bacterial SSU rRNA
Rfam family: Bacterial small subunit ribosomal RNA
Source: RNAcentral